Molecule: transfer RNA, 87 nt
Filed under: Nitrospinae bacterium RIFCSPLOWO2_12_FULL_47_7
Lineage: Bacteria; Pseudomonadati; Nitrospinota
Also listed under: 4 other names
Description: tRNA-Ser
Rfam family: tRNA
About the family: Transfer RNA (tRNA) molecules are approximately 80 nucleotides in length. Their secondary structure includes four short double-helical elements and three loops (D, anti-codon, and T loops). Further hydrogen bonds mediate the characteristic L-shaped molecular structure. tRNAs have two regions of fundamental functional importance: the anti-codon, which is responsible for specific mRNA codon recognition, and the 3' end, to which the tRNAs corresponding amino acid is attached (by aminoacyl-tRNA synthetases). tRNAs cope with the degeneracy of the genetic code in two manners: having more than one tRNA (with a specific anti-codon) for a particular amino acid; and 'wobble' base-pairing, i.e. permitting non-standard base-pairing at the 3rd anti-codon position.
Source: RNAcentral
GGAGAGGUGGCCGAGCGGUUGAAGGCGCACGCUUGGAAAGCGUGUGAAGGUUUACCCCUUCCGAGGGUUCGAAUCCCUCCCUCUCCG